This 253-nucleotide ribosomal RNA is filed under the name uncultured bacterium. Its description in RNAcentral is "partial 16S ribosomal RNA". It matches the Rfam family "Bacterial small subunit ribosomal RNA", at positions 524 to 776 of the family's 1533-position model. The record is from RNAcentral.
UACGGAGGGUGCGAGCGUUAAUCGGAAUUACUGGGCGUAAAGCGCACGUAGGCGGUCAGGCAAGUCGGGUGUGAAAGCCCUGGGCUCAACCUGGGAAUUGCAUUCGAAACUAUCUGACUCGAGUAUGGGAGAGGGAAGCGGAAUUUCCGGUGUAGCGGUGAAAUGCGUAGAUAUCUGGAGGAACACCGGUGGCGAAGGCGGCAUCCUGGACCGGUAUUGACGCUGAGGCGCGAAAGCUAGGGGAGCAAACGGG